RNAcentral lists this microRNA (20 nucleotides) under Echinococcus granulosus. Its description in RNAcentral is "egr-miR-10251-5p". The record is from miRBase by way of RNAcentral. Lineage: Eukaryota; Metazoa; Platyhelminthes; Cestoda; Cyclophyllidea; Taeniidae.
GCCUGAUUUGAGUGCAGCCU